AGAGUUUGAUCAUGGCUCAGAUUGAACGCUGGCGGCAGGCCUAACACAUGCAAGUCGAGCGGUAGAGAGAAGCUUGCUUCUCUUGAGAGCGGCGGACGGGUGAGUAAUGCCUAGGAAUCUGCCUGGUAGUGGGGGAUAACGUUCGGAAACGGACGCUAAUACCGCAUACGUCCUACGGGAGAAAGCAGGGGACCUUCGGGCCUUGCGCUAUCAGAUGAGCCUAGGUCGGAUUAGCUAGUUGGUGAGGUAAUGGCUCACCAAGGCGACGAUCCGUAACUGGUCUGAGAGGAUGAUCAGUCACACUGGAACUGAGACACGGUCCAGACUCCUACGGGAGGCAGC
Molecule: ribosomal RNA, 342 nt
Filed under: uncultured bacterium
Lineage: Bacteria
Description: bacterial SSU rRNA
Rfam family: Bacterial small subunit ribosomal RNA
Source: RNAcentral